Molecule: ribosomal RNA, 253 nt
Filed under: uncultured bacterium
Lineage: Bacteria
Description: partial 16S ribosomal RNA
Rfam family: Bacterial small subunit ribosomal RNA
Source: RNAcentral
UACGUAGGAUCCAAGCGUUGUCCGGAAUUACUGGGUGUAAAGGGUGCGCAGGCGGGCUUGUGCGUCGAAGGUUAAAUACCGUAGCUCAACUAAGGGAGUGCCUUCGAAACGGCGAGUCUUGAAUACGAGAGAGGUAGGUAGAAUUCCUGGUGUAGCGGUGAAAUGCGUAGAUAUCAGGAGGAAUACCAGUGGCGAAGGCGGCCUACUGGCUCGUUAUUGACGCUCAUGCACGAAAGCGUGGGGAUCAAACAGG